GGUUCAACUCUAAUUCUCUUUUCCCAUUCCUUUUUCUUUGUUCUUAUUUCCUUCCUAUUCCCUUGUUCCCACACGGCAGUACCUUCUCACCAACAACCCUCUCUCUCUCAUCGAAACCGUAUAUCUUUCUCUAAAAGGGAAUCAAACUCUUACUAAAGUGUCAGUUUCAAUUGUGGGUGUUACUAGUUGCCAAGUCUAAGCUCCUUCGACUGUAGGCUUUUGAUUCUUCUGCUUUCAGGUAAGGAAUAAGUUAUAUGAGCAUUUGGUAAGUCAUGAGAUUAUUUUAAAGUAUAUUAUGUAUUAAAAGGUUUUUUAUUAGAGAUAUGACAUAUAAUCAUGUUUCAGACAAAAAUAUAUUCGUGAGUUCUCGAAACUUUGUGUACAUGAUUUAAGCAUAUUGAUGCUAUUACUAAUUCCACGAACAUGAUGUUUAAAGAAAACAAUGGAAAUACUUUUAUUAUGAAAUGUUAUGCAAAUUAUGAAUUUCAGUAUGAUGUAUAAGUAUGAAAUGUUUUUGGGUUA
Quercus robur (English oak) is the source of this 522-nucleotide long non-coding RNA. RefSeq lists it as uncharacterized. The record is from RefSeq and is a predicted model, not a curated record. Lineage: Eukaryota; Viridiplantae; Streptophyta; Magnoliopsida; Fagales; Fagaceae. The transcript has 2 exons.